UACAGAGGUCUCAAGCGUUGUUCGGAAUUACUGGGCGUAAAGGGUGCGCAGGCUGCGCGGCAAGUCAAAUGUGAAAUUCAGGGGCUCAACCCUGCAUUGCGCUUGAUACUUCCGCGCUCGAGCCUUGGAAAGGAGUCUGGAAUUCUCGGUGUAGCAGUGAAAUGCGUAGAUAUCGAGAGGAACACUAAGGGCGAAGUCAAGACUCUGGACAAGUGCUGACGCUCAUGCACGAAGGCUAGGGUAGCGAACGGG
RNAcentral lists this ribosomal RNA (252 nucleotides) under uncultured bacterium. Its description in RNAcentral is "partial 16S ribosomal RNA". It matches the Rfam family "Bacterial small subunit ribosomal RNA", at positions 524 to 776 of the family's 1533-position model. The record is from RNAcentral.